GGAAAAAUUUGAAAGUCUUGGUUUUUUAGACUUAGGGGCUGCAAUGCACUCCUUAAAUCCCCAAAUGACGACUAAUGUCAAAAUAUAGGUGCAAGAAAUAUUUCAAUUUAGUUGCUUUUAAAGCAAGCUAUGUUUGUUGGUGAGACUGGACUAUGUUGGUGCUUGGUACCAAGAUUUGGAAAUUUUUUAAAGUCUUGGUUUUUUAGAGUUAGGGGUUGCAAUGCACUCUUUAAAUCCGC
Molecule: long non-coding RNA, 239 nt
Filed under: Vigna radiata
Lineage: Eukaryota; Viridiplantae; Streptophyta; Magnoliopsida; Fabales; Fabaceae
Description: long non-coding RNA (VRAD_LNC014435)
Source: RNAcentral